NNNUGAUGCUUCUCUGGAAACACCAUGUAAAAAAGUAGAGAUUUAAAAAGAUUUCAUGUCGGUCCAAUGAAUGAUUUAAUCACAGCUAAGGUUUAUUUCCCCAUAGGUUAUCCUCAAAAAAAGAGCUUGAAAAAUAGUGAAUUUGUAUCAAGUUCAAAUAAACAAGAAGAACAUUUUUCUAAACUAUUUGAUGAAAUUCUACAGCAAGUGUUCUACAAGGCUCCGUAUGGGACACCAUUUGAUGAAGCCAGAACAGCAGGCAAAUCAAUUACGAAGAGAGACAUGAAUUCAGAAAGCAAGUAUAUGUCUUUUAAACUAUUGGUGCAUGUAUUCCUAUAGGUCUCUGUAUGUGAUAUAUACAGUGCUAUCAUUUUAGCAUUUGUUAAAACAGCUCCAUGUGUGGCAAAGACAAAUCAAGAAAGGCAGGAAAGAAUUGUCUGAAAACCUCUCUAUAACCUUCAAAUCUAUGGUCUCAGAUGUGCCUAUCCUUCUAUUUUGUGGGGGAUCCUUGGAGUUCAUGUAUAAAGCAGGUUCUCACUUUCUGGAGGCUGUUCAGAAGAUAGGAACUGGAAUUACAACAGGAGCCCUGAGUAACGUCAUAACUUUGUCCUGCACACACUUUAUGUACACCCCCCCUUGCAUACUUUGAUACUUUGCUUAGCCCCUGGGGAGAGCUGGUGCAGUCAUUAGUCCCCGCAUUCAAUGGUAAGACUCAGGCCGGAAAAAAUCACUUGACCUAGAGCACGCCAGGAGAAAUAACAAAAAAGAAAAAUACUCUUCCCCAAAGCAGCUUCAGAUUAUUAUUAUUUUUUUAAGUAGUAGUUUGAGAAUUAAGACAGUUGUUUGAUCAUAGGUUGUAAGGAUAGAAUUAUGUAUCAGAAACUCCCAGCAGUACAGGGAAGUGCCCCGGGCAGCCGAGAAAUGGGCACUGUGUUGGAAUUUUGCAUACAGAUGUGAAUUUCAAUUCCUGAGGUUUGUUUCCCACAGACUCUGCGCGGGCACCAACCUCUCCAGUCAGCAGCUAGCCGAUGCCUUGCUCUACAUUGACAUGUAAACUUUCAAAUAUACAUUCCAAAUACAAGUGGAAUUCUAUGUCAGCAUUUCAACACUUAAAACAAAAUAUGGACCCAAAGUGCUCACUCAAAAGUGUGUACGUGUGUACUGAUACAAAUUUUUCUCUUUCAUCUCCCCACCCCCCACCAUAGUUUUCAUCAAAGGACCCAAUGUUGCUGGGUAUUCUACUGCACCAAGGUUUCUCUUUGGCAGCGUGGACAGAAUUUCUACUAAUGGUAAAUGCAAAUGGACGUACUCGGAGUUGGGGGCCAAUAAGUAAUACCUCAUCUUCUUGUACCUGAGUUUGGAAGCAAAUGUGACACUGAGCUAAGGAUCCUAUAGAUGAAGCUCAGACUAUCUUCUCUAGAAAAUUUGGCUGGGUAACGUGGG
RNAcentral lists this long non-coding RNA (1443 nucleotides) under Mustela putorius furo (domestic ferret). Its description in RNAcentral is "lncRNA (ENSMPUG00000026648.1)". The record is from RNAcentral. Lineage: Eukaryota; Metazoa; Chordata; Mammalia; Carnivora; Mustelidae.